GGGUCGUUAGCUCAGUUGGUAGAGCAGUUGGCUUUUAACCAAUUUGUCGAAGGUUCAAAUCCUUCACGACCCACCA
RNAcentral lists this transfer RNA (76 nucleotides) under Alteromonas macleodii. Its description in RNAcentral is "tRNA-Lys". It matches the Rfam family "tRNA". From Rfam's summary of the family: Transfer RNA (tRNA) molecules are approximately 80 nucleotides in length. Their secondary structure includes four short double-helical elements and three loops (D, anti-codon, and T loops). RNAcentral also lists the same sequence under 13 other names. Lineage: Bacteria; Pseudomonadati; Pseudomonadota; Gammaproteobacteria; Alteromonadales; Alteromonadaceae. The record is from RNAcentral.